Molecule: ribosomal RNA, 1315 nt
Filed under: metagenome
Description: SSU rRNA
Rfam family: Eukaryotic small subunit ribosomal RNA
Source: RNAcentral
AAUGGGCUUGAUUUGCAAACUUUAUUUAGCGAGGAACAAUUGGAGGGCAAGUCUGGUGCCAGCAGCCGCGGUAAUUCCAGCUCCAAUAGUGUAUAUUAAUGUUCCUGCAGUUAUUCGAUGCUCGUAGUUGGAUUUCUGGGGGCUGAGAUUGGAAGGUGGCCAAGGUCACCGCCGAACUCUUCCUUCAUCCACCUGUUAACGUUGUCCGGGAUUUGUUUUUCGGCGUCAGGCUCAGGUAUUUUACCCUUUCUAUAUAUUCAUUUAUUUAUCUUCUUUUUGAGUAAAUUAUAGUGUUUCAGGCAGGCGUGCGCCGGAAUACUUUAGCAUGGAAUAAUCGAAUUGGACCGUGUAUUCUUAUAGAAUUCUUCCUUAUUUGUUGGUUUCAAGGACACGGAAAUGGUUAAUAGGGAUAGUGUUUUCAGGGGAGGCAUUAGUAUUUAAUUUCCAGAGGUGAAAUUCUUUGAAAUAUUAAAGACUAACUUAUGCGAAAGCAUUUAUUUUGCCAAUAAUGUUUUCAUUAAUCAUUGAACGAAAGUUAGGGGAUCAAAGACGAUCAGAUACCGUCCUAGUCUUAACCAUAAACGUUGCCGACUAGGGAUCGGAGGGCGUGCACAUUCCGCCUUCGGCACCUUACGAGAAAUCAAAGUCUUUUGGGUUCUGGGGGUAGUAUGGUCGCAAGGCUGAAACUUAAAGGAAUUGACGGAAGGGCACCACCAGGAGUGGAGCUUGCGGCUCAAUUUGACUCAACACGGGAAAUCUUACCAGGUCCAGACAUAGCGAGGAUUGACAGAUUGAUAGCUCUUUCUUGAUUCUAUGGGUAUUUAUUUUAAUUUUGGUGGUGCAUGGCCGUUCUUAGUUGGUGGAGUGAUUUGUCUGGUUAAUUCCGUUAAACGAACGAGACCUCAGCCUGCUAAAUAGUUACCUGUCUUUCUUUUACGAGACUUGAUAACUUCUUAGAGGGACGUUGUGUGCAACCACAAGGAAGUUGAGGCAAUAACAGGUCUGUGAUGCCCUUAGAUGUCCUGGGCCGCACGCGUGCUACACUGAUACGUACAACAAGGUAUAUGCAUUUAUGCAUCGAUGCUGCUCCGAAAUAGACACAGCUAAAUCUUCUAAAAUACGUAUCGUGCUGCGGAUAGAUCGUUGAAAUUAUGGAUCUUGAAGGUGGAAUUCCUAGUAAGCGCGGGUCAUCAACCCGCGUUGAUUACGUCCCUGCCCUUUGUACACACCGCCCGUCGCUCCUACCAAUUUCGAGUGGCUCGGUGAACCUCUUUGGACUGUCGAGCAAUCGCGAAAUUAGAGUGAACCUGGUCAC